UCGGUUCCGGUUCACGCCUCACACCUUCACUGAAAUCGCUGAAGGGGCGACCCGGGUCC
Non-coding RNA from Mycobacterium sp., 59 nucleotides. The record is from Rfam. NCBI's taxonomy places the organism in Bacteria, Bacillati, Actinomycetota, Actinomycetes, Mycobacteriales, Mycobacteriaceae.